Molecule: ribosomal RNA, 665 nt
Filed under: uncultured bacterium
Lineage: Bacteria
Description: bacterial SSU rRNA
Rfam family: Bacterial small subunit ribosomal RNA
Source: RNAcentral
AUAACUGCUCGAAAGGGUGGCUAAUACCGCAUGAGACCUGAGGGUGAAAGCGGGGGAUCGCAAGACCUCGCGCAAUUGGAGCGGCCGAUGCCCGAUUAGCUAGUUGGUGAGGUAAAGGCUCACCAAGGCGACGAUCGGUAGCUGGUCUGAGAGGACGACCAGCCACACUGGGACUGAGACACGGCCCAGACUCCUGCGGGAGGCAGCAGUGGGGAAUUUUGGACAAUGGGGGCAACCCUGAUCCAGCCAUGCCGCGUGCAGGAUGAAGGCCUUCGGGUUGUAAACUGCUUUUGUCAGGGACGAAAAGGACCGUGUUAAUACCAUGGUCUGCUGACGGUACCUGAAGAAUAAGCACCGGCUAACUACGUGCCAGCAGCCGCGGUAAUACGUAGGGUGCAAGCGUUAAUCGGAAUUACUGGGCGUAAAGCGUGCGCAGGCGGUUCUGUAAGACAGAUGUGAAAUCCCCGGGCUCAACCUGGGAAUUGCAUUUGUGACUGCAGGACUAGAGUUCAUCAGAGGGGGGUGGAAUUCCAAGUGUAGCAGUGAAAUGCGUAGAUAUUUGGAAGAACACCAAUGGCGAAGGCAGCCCCCUGGGAUGCGACUGACGCUCAUGCACGAAAGCGUGGGGAGCAAACAGGAUUAGAUACCCUGGUAGUCCACGCCCU